UACGGGGGGAGCAAGCGUUGUUCGGAUUUACUGGGCGUAAAGGGCGCGUAGGCGGCCUCCGCAAGUCAGUUGUGAAAUCUCCGGGCUUAACUCGGAAAGGUCAACUGAUACUGUGCGACUAGAGUGCGGAAGGGGCAACUGGAAUUCUCGGUGUAGCGGUGAAAUGCGUAGAUAUCGAGAGGAACACCUGCGGCGAAGGCGGGUUGCUGGGCCGACACUGACGCUGAUGCGCGAAAGCCAGGGGAGCGAACGGG
This 254-nucleotide ribosomal RNA is filed under the name uncultured bacterium. RNAcentral describes it as "partial 16S ribosomal RNA". It matches the Rfam family "Bacterial small subunit ribosomal RNA", at positions 524 to 776 of the family's 1533-position model. The record is from RNAcentral.